UACGUAGGGUGCAAGCGUUGUCCGGAAUUAUUGGGCGUAAAGAGCUCGUAGGCGGUUCGUCGCGUCGGCUGUGAAAACUCGGGGCUUAACCCCGGGCCUGCAGUGGGUACGGGCAGACUAGAGUGCGGUAGGGGAGACUGGAAUUCCUGGUGUAGCGGUGAAAUGCGCAGAUAUCAGGAGGAACACCGGUGGCGAAGGCGGGUCUCUGGGCCAUUACUGACGCUGAGGAGCGAAAGCGUGGGGAGCGAACAGG
This 253-nucleotide ribosomal RNA is filed under the name uncultured bacterium. Its description in RNAcentral is "partial 16S ribosomal RNA". It matches the Rfam family "Bacterial small subunit ribosomal RNA", at positions 524 to 776 of the family's 1533-position model. The record is from RNAcentral.